CUAUAAGUCUUUCAUGUGUCCGUCUUCUCUUUGCAUGUUUCUGCUUCCUCCUAUUGUUGCCCUAUAAGUCUUUCAUGUGCCCGUCUUCUCUUUGCAUGUUUCUGCCUCAUUAGAUGUUGUAUUUUAGCCUGUAGUAGAAAACACCAUAUAAAACUUGGGGAUUUUUUUAUUGACGUUACUACUACUGCUAAAGAGGCUUAGUUGUCCACCCAAGAAAGGCGAUUAGGCAAAAUUAGUGAGUGCGGUUCACAGUGAAUUUACUAGAGCACUAAUCGGCAUAUCUAUAUAAUGUAUUGGUUUCACUAGCUAUGCAUGGAUUCCUAUAUGUGUGUGUUUUACUGGACGUUUUGAUAUUUUGAGGGAUGUCGGCGAACAGUUCUGAUCGUGCUGGAAGGGCAAUUACACCUAGAACGUGUGCAGAAUAUUGUCUCUUGAGUAACCAAUUAUGUUGCUAUUUCAUAAUUUAUUCAGCUUUACCACAGGUUGAAACUGGACAUGUCUUCACUUGCUACUUAAUUUAUUUAGCUUUAAGUUAUUCGUGCCAGUGACUGAAACUUGUUGCCUUUUCUAGGGCAAUUGUGUGUCCUUAACUUCCUGGGAUGGAGUUAAUUAAAUUCAGUUUCAACGAUACCUAGAGGACCGAGGAACUUGAGUACUCUUGGCACGUAUAUUAAAGAUCUGUUUUGUAAGUAUGAGGUAGGUCGUCGAUAUCUCCUUCAAAUAUAAAUUCAAUCACUACAUGCAAUACUGCCCUAAGUUGUAUGCAGGUAAAAUAUUAUGGAUUCACAGCUUUGGUUCGUUGAAGUGUGAAGUUGGUUCAAUAUUAUAUGGAGCAUGAAAUGUAUACAUAGUUUGUAGCAUUACUAUAGAGAUGGGAGAAUGGACGGCUCCACCUCCUCCAACCUCACCUCCCAUCGGCGCCCAGAGUGGUAAAGUAAUGCAUGCAGAGACGACCAAAUAUGCUGAGCCGAGGUGAGUCGAUGUCAAUUUGCAAUAGGUGUUUUUUUUUCCUUUCAUGAAUCUUCAUGUAUCCACACAUGUUGUAUGGAUGCGAUGCCGCAAACGCAUAUAGUGAUUUAUUACUGUUAACAUAUGAAUUUCCUCUUCUUUUGUCGAUCUCCCAUAGGAGAAGUAAAAGAGAAGGACCAAUUGUUGUGGUCGAUUUGUAGGAAAAAUUCCUCUUGUGCUUUAAUUGAAACUUGUUUUAUUUAUCUAUUGAUAUAGAAAGCAGUCAAAUUUCAUUCCCUGUUUUCUUAUGCUAAUUCUAGAGCCUAUAAAGAUAUACAACUUAAGAAAUGCAUACAUGGUUUCAUCCCAAAACUAUUCUCUACAUGAGUCAUAAUGCAGCGUUUCUUUUUUGUUUCUCGUGUGGUCAAGCACUCAGCCUAAGUAGGUCGAAUCUCUUCAACUGAUUUGGCAUGUGAGCUCCUGGCCUUCUUUUAUGGGGUUCUGCAAUAUUUGGUCUGCGUUUUGUACCCUUGUGGGAGUUCGUCAAGAUUUUGUAUGUGACUAGGGUGUUGUUUGGAAGGGUUUCGGUCCUACUGUAGUUGGGAUCUCUUGCAAAGUGAGUGAAUUUGGUUUCUUUGUUGUAUUUGAGGCACCCAUACUGGCUUAAACCUUUGUCAUCUCCUGCACUGAUUUUAAGGAUUUUAGUUUCAUGUGAGGUAGUGGAAUCUAGGUGUUUGCAGAGCGUGUAAUGUAGUGUUCUGGAGUAGAUAUCCCUCAGUUUCUGGGUUCCUAAUCAUUGCUUGGUUCAUUUUUCGCUAACUUGUGUCUUACUUUAAAUUUUAGAUUGUUUUAUUUGCAAUGGAAUGUCAGCUUUUGUUUUUGGUAAUAUGUUCGCUUUAAAGAAUUUGGUAAUCUCACCCCUACAAUGUUUGUGUUCUUGCUCUGUCUAGAGUGAUUAUUUUUACUUCCUGAUAUCACUUUGAUGCUUGUAAUCUCCAGUUUACCGGGAGGCGCUGAGCAUUAAUCGUUCUUGUGCGUUCUAAAAACCAUCAUCGGGAUGGUUCAGGACAUCAGGUGUUAUUUUCAGAUUUUCAAAACAAACCUUGGAAUUUCUAAUUAAAAUAAACUGAUGAGUUGCUAUUGCCAUCUCCGAGAAGGAUAUCAUUCUUGCUUUCUUGGAUAGAUUUAUAUAACAUUCAACUUCACAAUUUCACCUUUUUCCAGGGGACAUAAUCAUACAUUACUAUACUGUUCGAUGAAUAAAUCCUUACUGACUGGACUUCUUCCGAAUUUUGUAAUAUAAAUGUCUGAUUGAAUUCUACAUAGUAAGACACUUCAAUAGUUAGACUGUUACUGGAAACUUGUGUUUAUAUGGUGUUAGAAGGAUACAAUAAUUUAUGAUGCAUGGAGUAGAGUAUUAUAACAUUGCUAGCUUGAAAUGAUAAACAUUGGACUGUUCAAGUGUUUGGGUGCAGGUUCAAGUGUUUUGUUCCUUCAUCCUUUGGGAAAUGAUUAAUUAUCUAACAAUGAGAAUAUCAGUGGAGUGGCAAUCCUGAUGGUCCGUCCGUUCCAUUUUGUAAUGCAUGUUUUAGUCUAUUUCAUGAAAUAAGAUAUUAGAGGGAAGUGACCAUGGUAGCCAAUGGUAUUAUUAUCUAGAGAAUAUGAGAGAGAACAGUCAGUAUGUAUGUGUACUCAUAAAUGCUAGAAAUAAAUAAAUUAGUAAAAGAGAGAGAAGAGUCGUCAGUUCUACAUGAAGGUGUCAUAUUCUAAAUGAUUGUCAAAUUUAUAUUUUUAAAUGGAUGGAGGGAAUAGCAUUUAACUGUCAGACAACUCAGCUAUGUCCAAAUGGCAGAUGCAAGUACAAGCUUCUUGAUCUGGAUGUGUAUGCUGAUGCACUCUUAGAUGUUGUGCCUUCUACCUAGGCCCUUAUGUGGAGCAUAUCUACAACCAGGAAUCUAAUGAUGGAAGUAUGUACAUGGCAGUACAGUACUCGAUCAGGGAGCUGAGCUCUAGGUGUCUUCAUAUAGCGGUAGCAAGUGUCGAGGGCUCAAACUACCAUCUGCAGCUGCAAAUAUGGAUGCAAAUCACUCAGCUUAGGUGUCUGCAUAUAGCAGCAGCAAUUGUUGAGUGCUCAAACCACAAACUACAGCUGCUGCAAGUAUAGAUGCAACUCAUUUAGCAUAGAUCAUAUCAUUAUGUUUUUGCUAUUGCCACCUGGUUCUAUGUGCUGCCAUGGCCAGAGGUUUCUUUUAUGUAUUUGUACUGGUCUAUAAAAAUGUAAUGAAUGUGUUGAAGGCUAUCCUAAUCGUAAUGUAUCGAUGUGAUAAA
Molecule: non-coding RNA, 3276 nt
Organism: Lolium perenne
Lineage: Eukaryota; Viridiplantae; Streptophyta; Magnoliopsida; Poales; Poaceae
Source: RefSeq, a predicted model, not a curated record